This 253-nucleotide ribosomal RNA is filed under the name uncultured bacterium. RNAcentral's name for it is "partial 16S ribosomal RNA". It matches the Rfam family "Bacterial small subunit ribosomal RNA", at positions 524 to 776 of the family's 1533-position model. The record is from RNAcentral.
UACGGAGGGUGCAAGCGUUGUUCGGAAUUACUGGGCGUAAAGCGCGUGUAGGCGGCUCUUUAAGUCUGAUGUGAAAGUCCGGGGCUCAACCCCGGAAGUGCAUUGGAUACUGGGGAGCUAGAGUACCGGAGGGGAAGGCGGAAUUCCUGGUGUAGCGGUGAAAUGCGUAGAUAUCAGGAGGAACACCUGUGGCGAAGGCGGCCUUCUGGACGGAUACUGACGCUGAGACGCGAAAGCGUGGGGAGCAAACAGG